CCUACGGGAGGCAGCAGUGGGGAAUAUUGCACAAUGGGCGAAAGCCUGAUGCAGCGACGCCGCGUGAGGGAUGACGGCCUUCGGGUUGUAAACCUCUUUCAGCAGGGAAGAAGCGAAGGUGACGGUACCUGCAGAAGAAGCGCCGGCUAACUACGUGCCAGCAGCCGCGGUAAUACGUAGGGCGCAAGCGUUGUCCGGAAUUAUUGGGCGUAAAGAGCUCGUAGGCGGCUUGUCACGUCGGAUGUGAAAGCCCGGGGCUUAACCCCGGGUCUGCAUUCGAUACGGGCUAGCUAGAGUGUGGUAGGGGAGAUCGGAAUUCCUGGUGUAGCGGUGAAAUGCGCAGAUAUCAGGAGGAACACCGGUGGCGAAGGCGGAUCUCUGGGCCAUUACUGACGCUGAGGAGCGAAAGCGUGGGGAGCGAACAGGAUUAGAUACCCUGGUAGUCCACGCCGUAAACGUUGGGAACUAGGUGUUGGCGACAUUCCACGUCGUCGGUGCCGCAGCUAACGCAUUAAGUUCCCCGCCUGGGGAGUACGGCCGCAAGGCUAAAACUCAAAUGAAUUGACGG
This 568-nucleotide ribosomal RNA is filed under the name uncultured bacterium. Its description in RNAcentral is "bacterial SSU rRNA". It matches the Rfam family "Bacterial small subunit ribosomal RNA", at positions 338 to 916 of the family's 1533-position model. The record is from RNAcentral.